AUACGGCGGAUCCGAGCGUUAUCCGGAUUUCUUGGGUUUAAAGGGUGCGCAGGCGGCCAUUUAAGUCAGCGGUUAAAUCGUGGGGCUCAACCCCAUUCUGCCGUUGAUACUGGGUGGCUUGAUUGCGGUCGAGGUUGGCGGAAUUCGUUGUGUAGCGGUGAAAUGCAUAGAUAUGACGAAGAACACCGAUUGCGUAGGCAGCUGACCAGACCGCAAAUGACGCUCAUGCACGAAAGUGCGGGGAUCGAACAGGAUUAGAUACCCUGGUAGUCCGCACAGUAAACGAUGAAUACUUGUUUUCGGCGAUAUAAUGUCGGAGGCAAAGCGAAAGCGAUAAGUAUUCCACCUGGGGAGUACGCCGGCAACGGUGAAACUCAAAGGAAUUGGCGGGG
This 392-nucleotide ribosomal RNA is filed under the name uncultured bacterium. RNAcentral's name for it is "partial 16S ribosomal RNA". It matches the Rfam family "Bacterial small subunit ribosomal RNA", at positions 523 to 918 of the family's 1533-position model. The record is from RNAcentral.